AUUAAUGCCAUCCAUUUUGGAUUUCUAUUUGCCAUAUUAUUUUAUUGUUAUUUAUUUUAUUAUUAUUGUUAGCUGCAUGUGUGACAUAACUCCACCAGUCCUAUUUAUGAUAUCAUUCACAAAAAUUAUACAUUUUUUAAAUCAAUUAGUAUAUUUGAGUUUAACCACAAUAUUUGUUGUAUUAUUUGUUCUGUCUUUUUAGGUAGAUUAAAUUGAAAUUGCAACCAACUUUCUAAGGCUUGUUUAAAAAAUAACAAUAUUUUGGAGAUUAUUUCCUUUUCAAACAACCAAAAGUGAGCUGGUGUAAUCUGAAUAAAGGGAAAAAGGCCAUUCAGGUGUAGGUGUAGGCAAAACCAUAUGCAAAUAGGUAAACUGUGAUAUGACUAAAGAGUUAAUCAGGUUAUUUUUCCACAAACAGACAAGAUCUUGCUUCCAUGGAAAGGAAAAUACCUAUCUAUUUUUGCUAACUUUCUAUAAAAAUUUAUUGAAGAUAAUUUCUUUCUUUUGGGAUUUGUAUACUGUCAGAUCAUUUGUCUACAUCUCUGUCAGACCAUUUAAUUGGUAAACUACACGGUAAUGUAAAAUUUGCAUUUUUUUGUGAUCGAAUAUGUAAUAUAGUACACUUAUCAUAAUUCGGUUGUAAUCCAGAGAAGAUAGCGAAAGUAUCUAGAUCCUCUAUGAGGCCAUGGAGAGAAUCUAAUUCUGGUUUUAAAAGAAAACAUGAAUUAUCAGCGUACAUUGACACCUUAGUUUUUAAGCCACGGAUUUCUAAUCCCUUAAAAACCAGGUCUGGUGUCCCCGAUCUAUUGUUUCCAGUACUUGUCUUAUAUUAUCUCCAAUGUAUCGUCCAUGUAAAAAACCUGUCUGAUUAGGAUGAAUAAUAUCUGACAAUACUUUCUAAAUUCUAUGCGCCAAGCAUUUUGCAUAAGAGGUGUAAGAGGUCUCAAUUUUUUUUAUGGACUGGAUCUUUAUAUAUACCACUUGGAUCCUGUUUCAGUAAUAAUGACAUCAGGCCUUGUUGCGUGUCUGAUAAUCUACCAUUUAUAUAGGAGUGGUUAAAACAAGCUAAUAAUGGUCCUCUGAGUAUAUCAAAAAAGGUUUUAGAUACUUCCACUGGUAUGCCAUCCAGCCCUGGAGUUUUCCCAGCCUUAAAGGCUUUAAUUGCAUAAAGAAGUUCCUCCUCUGUAAUUUGGCCUUCACAUGAGUCUUUCUGUACAGAUGUAAAUUGUACAUUAUUAUUAGGGAAAAAAUCCAUACAAUUAGCUUCCGUUAGUGGAGAUGGAGGAGACUGAAACGAAAACAUAUUCUUAAAAUACUUUACUUCCUCUUUCAAAAUAUAAUUUGGUGAAUCAUGCAUGACUCCAUCAUUCGUAACAAGUUUCAAUAAAAAUAUGUUGGUUGCAUUUCUAUAUUGAAGAUUGAAAAAGAAUUGUGCAUUUUUCCCCAUAUUCCAUCCAGUUAGCUUUAUUUUUUAUAAUUUAUAACUCUUGAAUAAGUUCCUCCUUUACUUUUUGUUUUUCCUCCAACUUAUUCUGUGCCUCUAUGGUACAGUUUUUAUUGCUAUCUAACUGUACUGUUAGUCCUUCAAUUUCCUUUGUUAAUAUGGACUCUUUUGUUCUAAAUUGCUUUUGUUUUAUAGAUGAGUAGUGAAUUGCAUGGCCUCUAAAGGCGCAUUUAAAAGUGUCCCAUACAAUAGGGAGAUCUGAUGUACCUAUGUUAUGUCUGAAAAAGUCAGUUAUAAAUUCUUCUGUCCUAGUUCUAAACAAUUUAUCAUCUAGUAGGCUUUGAUUAAAUUUCCAAUAUCCUCGCCCACGUGGAAAUUCCGUAAGAGUAAUAUAUAUGCCAAUUAUGUGAUGAUCCGACUGCAUUCUGUCCCCUAUCAACACUUUUUAAACUUUUGGUGCCAGAGAGAAUGGUAUAAGAAAGUAGUCAAGACGACUAGCUUGAUUAAGCCUCCGCCAUGUAUAUCUCACUAGGUCAGGGUAUUUAAGUCUCCAUAUAUCCACUAAUUCCAAAAUAUCCAUGACAUUCAUGAUUUCCUUAAGUGCCUGAGGGUGAUGGUUUGUAGUGUGAUUUACUUUCCGGUCCAUAGAGGUAUUUAAGACCGUAUUAAAAUCUCCCACCAUAAUAAUAAAGUCUAAUGUUGCUUGUAGAGUUGAUAAAUUCUUAUAUAUUUUCAAAGAAGCUUGGAUCAUCAUCAUUAUUUGGACCGUAUAGGUUAAUAAGCCAUAUCUGUUUAUUGUCCAAUAACAUAUUUAAAAUAAUCCAUCUACCUUUAUUAUCUGUUUGGACAAUUUGCACAUUUGGAUCAAAAUUACUGUUAACUCAACCCUUUCCCCCACACAAUCAUAGGCUCACAUUCUCAACAGUUGCACCAUCCCAGAGCCCAACUCAAGAAAGGUCUUGAUUUAUGAAUGCAUAUACAGUUGCAGCUGUAUGAGAAGGCCUGCAAGACUGUGCAAAAAAAUGGGAAGAAAUUGAGAGAUUUUAUUAACCAUUGCCACAUCCUAGAUGGAGGUCAAAUGUACACUUUUUCCCUGAAACACCCACAACACGGUCCCCCAUAUUGACCAUAUUCCCAAGCAUCUCCAUGCAGUCAGACUUUUGAUUUUGUGCCACCAGGGCCACAAUAAUAUACCCCCUCUCUGAAUGUCAGUGUGACCCCCUCCCCAUGGGUUACUGCAGCUAGUGUUGCCAGCACUGCCACUGCCUGGGUGGGGGCACCCCACCGGAAUCCCCACCGGCUAGAUACAAGGUCAUCAAGGUUCUCAUUAGCAACUUUGAGAAUUUCUUUGUAUAGUAUGCUCUCCCUUUAGGGGGCUUUGGCUUUGCAGGACCAACCCUGCCAAGCAGGCUCCGAAUCUUGAGGGGGCAGUGCUGCUCUAGGUCUCUGACCGCAUUUUGGCUGCAUACAGACAACUUACAGCAGGCCCAAAAAACAGUUAGAGACUUCUCCUUAGUAUCUGGGUCAUUCAGGUGGGUGUCUAGCGUAUAGGGUUGUGGACCGUUCCAUCAAUAUAGGAUCAUAAAUAAAUAAGAUAUAUAAUUUAUUUAAAAUGUUUAAUUCCUUAUGAUAGGACAAUAAAUAAAUGAAAUGUAUAAUUUAUUUUAAAACACUGUUCCACCAUGAUAGGACAAUAAAUCAGACAUAUAAUUAAUUAUAAAAAGUAUAUCCAUCAUCUGAACAACAUUGAAAGCUCUCUCACACCCCCACUCACAGCAAUACAUUGGUUCUGAGAUAUGCAACCAUUUCCUUUCUCACUCAACAUAAUUCACUUUCCCAUACAUAAAAAAACACACCACACCAUCCACACAUACUGUGCCUUCUGUUUGAGUUUUUAUCUUCACCAUGUUGAAUUAGUGCUUUUGUGUUCCAAUUAGUUAUUUGAAGAUAUAUAGAAAAUAUAUUUUUUAUUGUAUUAUUACAAUCCAUAACCAGGCUAGAAUUGUGUUUCAUUAUUUUCCUCGUCUAUAAGAACUUUGUAAUUUUUAAAAUAGCCAUGGAGUAGUCUUUGUGUCCAUGAACAGCUGGUUAUCAAUAUAUAGUUUAUCGAUGACGAGAGUUACUCAAUUCCCUUUUAAUCUAUUUUCCUUGAAAAUUGGAUACAGAACUUUAAGCCGUUCUGCAAUUUCCUUCAGGAACUGGUCAUUCAUGCCAAUUUUGGUCGCAGCAAGUCUUUUACCCAGGCUUUUAACCAUUAUUUUAUCUUUAAAGGAAGCAAAUUUGGCAACGAUUGGGCGUUUAUACCUCUGCCCUCUCUGUCCGAAGUAGUGUAAACGUUUGAGUUGGAUGUUGUCGAUAGCUUUACGUGGAAUCUGAAGCGCUGUAAGGAGGAACUCUCUAACUACAGAUUCAGGAACUUCCCCUUCUUUCCCUUGGAUACCUGUAAGUACCAGAUUCUCUCUCAUGGAUCUAGUCUAUGUCAAGUAAGGCUUCUCUCAGAACGGUGUUCUCCUUUUUAAGUUCAUUAACUUCGUUUCAAUCUUAUUGACUGUCCCUUUUAGCUUGUUUGUUUCCUUCUCCAAUGUCGCAGCUUUUUCAUCACUCAUCUCAAGGUUUGCCUUCAACUCUUUAAUAUCCUUACUGACUAGUUCAAGUAUGCCCAGUUUGUCCUUUAUUGGUUUUGACCUUUGCCAUUCCCAGUGGUGAAAAUAUUCAAUUGUCUGUAGAAGUCACGUUUUAGUUUUGAAAUAGGUUCCCCUGUCUUACGCUCCGUCAUGUUUGGGCGUUGCUUGUUUUCGUAAUAUUUGCUGAUAAAUUUCUCUAGUCUUAUGAUUUGUUUUGUGUUGUUAUCCAGAUUGAAGGUUAUUACCCACCAGAUUGUGUAGUGCUAAUAUUUAGUCUAACUUUCCGAUAUUAAAUAUUGCAUUUUUAUCUUGAGGUGGUCUACAUAGCUGUAUUCAGUCCGUAUAAUAUCUGAAUCUGUAGCUAGAUUCUUACCUGUAUACAUGGAUGAAAGAUUCACGUUGGGUUCAUUGUUAGUUAGCAAGCCAGACAUCAAACUCCAGGUGGCUAGCUAACAGCAAGCUUUAGCUUGCAAUGAAAACACCUUUCGGACAAAAUUAGAAACGUAUAAUAUCUGAAUCUGUAGCUAGAUUCUUACCUGUAUACAUAGAUGAAAGCUUCAUGGCAGACUGCAAUCCCUUUUAUAAGACAUCCUGUGUUGUUUCCGUUUAGUUUGCACAGCUUGUUAGGCCCGUUGUGUUCCACUGAUUUCAAAACGUGUUAUGAAAUGAGAGUCAGCAUAGCAUGGCACAAUUGUCGUCCAGAAAGUUGUCCAUCACAACUUUUUCCCACUGACCUUUGUCGAUAGCGUCUGAUAAAUUCAGGGCAGCAAUGUUAUUGAGAGCAGUAGCAACAUAUUUGCAGUUCUCCCUGACUAACAUAUCUUUAAAAAAGAAACUACAGUACGAGCAGCUCAUUUUAUAGACACAAAAUGCAACACCGACCAAUCCAAACUCAUCUCUCUGCAUUUGCAGCCCACUCAUUUUCUCAGUGAAUCAUGGCUAGCGGGAAGGUUGCCCCUUUUUCUGUGGCUAACCCAACUAGGCUCAUAAUUUAACAAUUUUAUUCGUAUUUACAGAUGACAUACAAGUCUGAUAUUGCUACACAUGAAAGUUACCAAGGUAACCUGCCUAAAUGAGUACCGACCCGUAGCACUCACGUCUGUACCCAUGAACUGCUUUGAAAGGCUGGUCAUGGCUCACAUCAACACCAUUAUCCCAGAAACUCUAGAUCCACUCCGAUUUGCAUACCGCACCAACAGAUCCACAGAUGAUGUAAUCUCUUUUGCACUCCCCACUACCCUUUCCUACCUGGACAAAAGGAACACCUACGUGAGAAUGCUAAUUAAUUGACUACAGCUCAGCAUUCAACACCAUAGUAUCCUUAAAACUCAUCCAUAAGCUAAGGACCCUGGGACUAAACACCUCCCUCUGCAACUAGAUCCUGGACUUACUAACGAGCCGCCCCCAUUGAGAGUUAGAAUUGUAGAAUAUACAUGGUGCAAUUUCUUAAAUUUGGUUGUGCAUCAGCAGUUUUUAUCUUUUGUCAGUCACUGACAUUCACUCAAUUUGCCAUGUCAACUAACAACUUUUAGAUUGGUAAAUUAGUCUAGCCAGCUAUCUAAACUUGUAGUAAUUAUGGCCGUAUACCGACCGGGCACACAGGGCAUGUGCCCAGGGGCUCUGACCUCCUGGGGGGGCAUUAAAAUGUUUUACCAGCAAUUUGGGGUAUUAUCAACAAUAUCAUACAAACACCAUACCCUCAAUUUAUUUCAUCCAUUUAUUUAUUAGGAUUAUGGCAUCAUUUACCUUUUACAGUAUAAUAGUCAAUUCUGCAGUAUUGUAAUGCGAGUCAUUACACAGUGCUUGCUUUGAGUGUAUUUAGAUUACAAUAGGUGUACUGCAAUAUGAAAUACAGUAACUUACUUACUAAUGAGCCUCCUGGAAAUGACUGUCAAAUUCACGGCAACCCCUUUACAGUGUGUGUAUGUGAAACUAGAGGAAGGGUCAUGAACUUGCUGACUGUGGCUCUGAAGAACCAGAAUGGCUCCCUGGCCUGUUAUGAAGCAGAGAAGGAAAAACAGGAACUGUAGCAUGAUUGAAAGAUCUGAGGUCUCCAUCUGCUUCCCUCGUUCUCAGGUGAUUUUUACUGUGCCUUCUUUCUCUCUGUCUCCUCUCUCUUUAUUAAUCUCUCUCAACCUCUCUCUCCCUCUCCUCCCUUCAGCACAAGUCUACUGAGGCUCAUCAAAUACAGUGUGUGUAAUGCUCAGCGCUAUAAACCAUGAAAUAAAAAAACAUUGUCUCCUCUUUCCACACAGGGCUUAUAAAACCAUAGAAGAUGGACCUGAGGUUCCCCCUGUCUAUGGCGAAGGGAAAACGGUUAUUUUUGUGUGUGUCUCAUGCAUGAGAGGGAGUUUGUGUGCGUGUCUGUUUGAAUGUGGAUAUGAACAGAAUUUAUAACAGACUUAUAAAAGAGUUAUUACAUAGGAAAAACUGAUUUUAUAUCUUAGUUUAAUAGUAUACUAACUGAUGUCUUUACGACUCUUCGUCAGGCCAGGGUGAUGGCCACCAUAUGAGCAACCAGAGGCCUUGGUGACCACAAUCUUAAAGUCCACGACACCAACAUCAAGCCUUUCCUGUCCUGCUGUCCAGAGGUGAAGGUGUACAAUAGGGUUCCACAACUGGUACACAAUGGCUGCUCAGGAUCUAGUGAUGAGAGCGAAGGGAGUACUGAAGGACCGCGGCUGGCGGAUCACUAACGAACGUCUAGAAU
Long non-coding RNA from Salvelinus fontinalis (brook trout), 6778 nucleotides. RefSeq lists it as uncharacterized. Lineage: Eukaryota; Metazoa; Chordata; Actinopteri; Salmoniformes; Salmonidae. The record is from RefSeq and is a predicted model, not a curated record. The transcript is spliced from 3 exons.